This 482-nucleotide ribosomal RNA is filed under the name uncultured bacterium. Its description in RNAcentral is "bacterial SSU rRNA". It matches the Rfam family "Bacterial small subunit ribosomal RNA", at positions 30 to 507 of the family's 1533-position model. The record is from RNAcentral.
AUUGAACGCUGGCGGAAUGCUUUACACAUGCAAGUCGAACGGCAGCACGGGGCAACCUGGUGGCGAGUGGCGAACGGGUGAGUAAUAUAUCGGAACGUGCCCAAUCGUGGGGGAUAACGUAGCGAAAGUUACGCUAAUACCGCAUACGAUCUACGGAUGAAAGCGGGGGAUCGCAAGACCUCGCGCGAAUGGAGCGGCCGAUAUCAGAUUAGGUAGUUGGUGGGGUAAAGGCUCACCAAGCCAACGAUCUGUAGCUGGUCUGAGAGGACGACCAGCCACACUGGAACUGAGACACAGUCCAGACUCCUACGGGAGGCAGCAGUGGGGAAUUUUGGACAAUGGGCGCAAGCCUGAUCCAGCCAUUCCGCGUGCAGGAUGAAGGCCUUCGGGUUGUAAACUGCUUUUGUACGGAACGAAACGGUCUGCCCUAAUACGGCAGGCUAAUGACGGUACCGUAAGAAUAAGCACCGGCUAACUACGUG